AUUUCUGAAAAUAAUAAAAAUAAAAAAACCCAUAAAUCAUCAAAGUUUGUACUAUUUUUAUUUGAAUUAUGAUUUUGAUUCCUUCAAUCAAAAUAUAAAUUCCGGUUUUUAACAUUAAAUUAGAAAAAAAAAGGAGAAAAGAGGAGAGAGAGAGAGAGAGAGAGAGAGAGAGAGAGAGAGGGAGAGAUGGGGAGUUACAGCGUGGAUGAGGCGGUGAUAGCGUACAAGCUGAAGGACGCAUACAAUUGGUGGCGUGACAUUAACGAUUCACCGCUCUGGCAGGAUCGCAUUUUUCACAUUCUGGCCGCUCUUUACGGCAUCGUCGCCGCUGUUGCUGUCGUUCAAUUGAUUCGGAUACAAUUGAGAGUUCCCGAGUAUGGUUGGACCACGCAAAAGGUCUUCCAUUUUCUAAAUUUCCUGGUGAAUGGGGUUCGCGCACUAGUUUUUGUUUUCAGAAGGAAUGUGCAGAACUUACAUCCGGAGAUUGUUCAACAUAUCUUGCUUGACAUGCCAAGUCUAGCUUUCUUCACGACAUAUGCACUCUUGGUUUUGUUUUGGGCUGAGAUCUACUACCAGGCACGUGCUGUAUCAACUGAUGGACUGAGGCCAAGUUUCUUCACGAUUAAUGCGGUGGUUUAUACUAUUCAGAUUGCAAUGUGGCUGGUAUUAUGGUGGAAGUAUAUCCCAGUUUUGGUCAUCCUAUCUAAGAUGUUCUUUGCAGGUGUAUCAUUGUUUGCAGCCCUUGGGUUUUUACUGUAUGGGGGAAGGCUUUUCUUAAUGUUGCAGCGGUUCCCUGUAGAGUCCAAAGGGCGGCGUAAGAAGCUGCAAGAAGUUGGUUAUGUGACCACCAUAUGCUUCUCAUGUUUCCUAGUUCGAUGCAUUAUGAUGUGCUUUAAUGCAUUUGACAAAGCUGCUGACCUUGAUGUUUUGAACCAUCCAGUUUUAAACUUCAUAUAUUACCUGGUAAUUUCCCAUGUCCAACACUAUAUUCUAAGUCUGAGCUGCCAAGCGUUCAUCUAUUUUGCUACCAAAACUAUGAGGAAUUACUGAAAGUUUAAGGAGGAAAUGGUUGCAGUUUUUACCAGGCGCCUUACAGAAUGUGAUCUGUAUUUGUCAUAGAAAAUCAAUGUUGGUGGAGAUAUUACCUUCAUCUUUGGUCCUUUUCAUUUUGAGGAAGUUGCCACCAAAACGAGGUACUACCCAG
Durio zibethinus is the source of this 1204-nucleotide RNA transcript. It is a transcript of the gene named protein TOM THREE HOMOLOG 1, with no coding region annotated. The record is from RefSeq and is a predicted model, not a curated record. NCBI's taxonomy places the organism in Eukaryota, Viridiplantae, Streptophyta, Magnoliopsida, Malvales, Malvaceae.